Molecule: non-coding RNA, 70 nt
Organism: Pangasianodon gigas (Mekong giant catfish)
Lineage: Eukaryota; Metazoa; Chordata; Actinopteri; Siluriformes; Pangasiidae
Source: the annotation of a GenBank genome assembly
UCCUUGGAGGAAUAGUGGUUAGACCUCAGCACGCUCACUGCUCUCCUAGGUUCGAUUCCCGGCCAGGGAA